RNAcentral lists this long non-coding RNA (1353 nucleotides) under Piliocolobus tephrosceles (Ugandan red Colobus). Its description in RNAcentral is "lncRNA (ENSPTEG00000006606.1)". The record is from RNAcentral. Lineage: Eukaryota; Metazoa; Chordata; Mammalia; Primates; Cercopithecidae.
UUUGUGCUGUCACUUCAUUUUUUUCCUUCUUGCCUCACAUUUUCUUUCCCCAUUUUGAAUGUGAAUAUUUACUUUUGUUUUCCCAUUUGGCUGUGUUUUGAGGAUCUUCACUUGACUAAUAAGUAUUUUACCUCUUCUUUGGUUUUUUUUUUUUUUUUUUUUUUUUUGGUAGGACGUUAGUGCUCUUCUUGUCCAGGCUUGCCGACUGGUACCUCUUAACCAGAAUCAUCUUGUCAGCAAAGUGUCCCAGCUUAUCCACCAUUUACUUAACAGAUUACAGGUCUCAUGUGGGAGAGGUGGACUUCCAAAUUAAAUUAGUACUCUGCCAGCAGGGAAGGAAGAAAUGGAUGCUGGUAGGUAACCAACCAACUCUGCUGCAUGGAGUAAGGCUGUUUUCAGUUUAGAAUCGUUGAAACUAACAUGGGGUAGCUCCUGUAUGUUUACUAUUCUCAGGUGUAUCGUCUUUGUAACACUGGCAGUUGGAGAGGUUCCUGAACACCUGUGGCACCUAUCACGCUUUACCAGCUUUCCAGCAUUUGGUGACAGUUAGUCUCAAUUGUCCAUGAAUUGACACUUGGAUUAAUCUGGUCUGUCCCAACAAGAUGAUCAGCUCCGUGACAGCAGGGAUAUGCCCUGUCUUCAGGGUAUUCCUCAGGUCAUGUUAGAGAUACAGUAGGUGUUUAGUAGGUAUAUUGGUUCACUGUGUAUUCGUUGAGUGUAUUAUGUAUAAGGCAGUUUAAUUAAAUUUCAGUGCAUUGAAAUACUCAUAUCUGUGUAUUCACAGCUGCCAAUGUCUGGUUAGUUCAAGGAAAAGUUACAAGGACUUUAUCAAGUUCUACUUUACUAAAGAGGAAGAAGUGAGCAAGACCUUAGGGCGGGGAGAAGGCCCCUACGUUGAUCAAACUUUCAGGCCCUUUAGAGGUGAUCCUUUUGACACAUAAACGACAGACAUACACUCUGUCUUUUAUACAGCUUGACUCAGGUGAGCAUACAUGUCCAUAAAAGCAUAAUAUCUUUUAAAAUUUAGAUCAGAAUAUAUCUUUUCCUGUCGUGUUAGGUAAUUGUGGAUGAACAGCACUUGGAUUUCCUGUUGGCGUAUACUAUUUCGACUAUUCAUCAGUGUAGUUCCUGGACACACAUGGAAAUUCUUCAAGCCCUGGCAGCUCUGGUGUACUGCAAUGGCUCAGAAUGUCAAAAGAUAGUUUAAAGUGCUUAAUCCUUCCUUUGAAAGGCCAGGAGCACAGGCUCUGGUGCCAACACUGUUCAGGUUUCUAUCUUGCUACUAAUCUCUAGCAAUUCUUACUUAACCACUCUGGGCCUUGUUUCCUCAUGUAUAAAAUUGUUACUCUGAGG